This 22-nucleotide microRNA is filed under the name Apis mellifera (honey bee). Its description in RNAcentral is "ame-miR-6038-5p". RNAcentral also lists the same sequence under 2 other names. Lineage: Eukaryota; Metazoa; Arthropoda; Insecta; Hymenoptera; Apidae. The record is from miRBase by way of RNAcentral.
UAUGUUUCUGUCUUAUUUCAUU